GCCUANGGAUGCAAGUCGAGCGAAUCGAUGGGAGCUUGCUCCCUGAGAUUUGUGGCGGACGGGUGAGGAACACAUGGGUAACCUGCCUGUAAGACUGGGAUAACUUCGGGAAACCGGAGCUAAUACCGGAUAUGUUCUUUUCUCGCAUGAGGGAAGAUGGAAAGAUGGUUUCGGCUAUCACUUACAGAUGGACCCGCGGCGCAUUAGCUAGUUGGUGAGGUAACGGCUCACCAAGGCGACGAUGCGUAGCCGACCUGAGAGGGUGAUCGGCCACACUGGGACUGAGACACGGCCCAGACUC
This 301-nucleotide small RNA is filed under the name uncultured bacterium. RNAcentral's name for it is "bacterial SSU rRNA". It matches the Rfam family "Bacterial small subunit ribosomal RNA", at positions 50 to 338 of the family's 1533-position model. The record is from RNAcentral.